This 255-nucleotide ribosomal RNA is filed under the name uncultured bacterium. Its description in RNAcentral is "partial small subunit ribosomal RNA". It matches the Rfam family "Bacterial small subunit ribosomal RNA", at positions 26 to 285 of the family's 1533-position model. The record is from RNAcentral.
AGGACGAACGCUGGCGGCGUGCUUAACACAUGCAAGUCGAGCGGAAAGGCCCUUCGGGGUACUCAAGCGGCGAACGGGUGAGUAACACGUGAGCAACCUGCCCUUAGCUCUGGGAUAGCUCCGGGAAACCGGAAUUAAUACCGGAUAUUACACCGGCUGGCAUCGGCUGGUGUGGAAAGAUUUAUCGGCUAAGGAUGGACUCGCGGCCUAUCAGCUUGUUGGUGGGGUAGAAGCCUACCAAGGCGACGACGGGUA